UACAGAGGGGGCAAGCGUUGUUCGGAAUUACUGGGCGUAAAGGGCGCGUAGGCGGCCUUCUAAGUCGAACGUGAAAUCCCCGGGCUCAACCCGGGAACUGCAUCCGAUACUGGAUGGCUUGAAUCCGGGAGAGGGAUGCAGAAUUCCAGGUGUAGCGGUGAAAUGCGUAGAUACCAGGAGGAACACCGGUGGCGAAGGCGGCUCACUGGCCCGGUACUGACGCUGAGGCGCGAAAGCGUGGGGAGCAAACAGG
Molecule: ribosomal RNA, 253 nt
Filed under: uncultured bacterium
Lineage: Bacteria
Description: partial 16S ribosomal RNA
Rfam family: Bacterial small subunit ribosomal RNA
Source: RNAcentral